GGCACAGUUAAUGCGAGGGGGCUGUAAUUUGGAGGAAUAAGGGAGGUCUUGAGCUACUGCGAAGGCUCAGCUCGGAAACUCUGAGCCUCUGUCAUUAUUAAUGGGGGGGCACUGGAGAGAGGAUUGCUCAGCUAAGAGCAAGAGGCAGUGGAGGGAUACAAAUCGAGAUGAGCAGCAGCUGACUCGGCAAAACUGCUCAAUGACUUUGCAAAAGACCCGUCACAACGGAUAAACGGCCCCCCCUGAAGAGGCAGCUUAGCAUUCCUGCAGUGCACACAAUUAUUUCCAGGGACGAGAUUGAGAGGGAGGAGAAAGAAAGAGGAAAGAAGAUCAAAAGACGCCUUUAAUGACUCUGCAGACAUUUCUUAAACGAGCGAUUGGGAAGAAGAGAGCCGUAAAAGAAAAACCAAAACAAGGAAUGCAGGCACUUCAUUUUAAGCUCUGGCCACUGGGCGAGCAUCCACCACGCUGCCCUUUUCCUGCUCAUGAAAAAUGGUGAGUUGCUCUGUGGCUGUUGACUACACUCUAAUUGCUUUGGGGGUAAAUGAGGCAUGAAACCUAUUGUCAAAAAACAUGGUGUCCACAGCUACCGCCAUGCUUUUAUCUUCCCAGUACAUCACCCCCAGGGGUCCAGGCUGCCUGAGGGACCUAAGAGCCUUAAAGUACCAACAGCCCACAUUUCUUGAAGGCAGACUUUCAGUUUACAGGCAACUAAUCCUCACUGCAUCGGCUCCAACAGACGGGCACAAUCAAUUCAGGGAGAGCAAGCAACGCCAGGUCUGCUCAAUCUUCUCUCAACGAGCAGCAGAGGAGAGGCGGUGGGNGGGGGGGGGAGGAGACGGAAAGAAAGACAGAGAAUGCAGACAUCCCUGCUCCCAAGAUAGCUUAGCAGAGGCAAAGACGAAAAGACAAGUUGAAAUACAUAUCCUGGCAGAUGGAAGCGUUUGCUGUCGGAGGGAGAGGCUGAAACACCACGAAGACACAAAGCGCACCCAGCCUCCGGGCGCUGAGGAGUGUCUAAGGGAGCCAGGCAGACGGAAAAGGGUGUAUGUCGAAACAAAGGAACUGGGCACAGCACCUCUAGGGAGGAAAGAGGUCUGGAUUUGCUGAGGUCUCCACCGUCUAUGAUCUAUAGCAUAGCGUGAAGAGCGAGUUAAUUACUGCGCUUAGGUAAUUACGUCUCAGAGAAACCAGUGCCUUCCAGAGCAGCAUUAAUUUACACUGCUAGAUCUUUCUAGGCUUGACUGGCCAUAUGGGGAGAAGUCACACUGGAACAGUGGCUUAACAGCGGCAGGAAGAAAAUAAAUGAAAAUGAGCUAGAAAUAAGAGGCCCUGGAAUUGACAGUGUUCUCGGUUUUCUAUUUUUGGACGCAAAGGGCAGGACGAGAUGCUUCCUUCAUUUACCAGCAGCGCUUCAUCCCCCAACAGCUCAGGCCCCCCUCCAUCCCCUUGCUCCAAGCGUGGGCAAUAACUUAAUGUGCUUUGACUCCUCUGACUUUCCUUGGCACUCGCUUCUCUCCCAUGGCCACUACAUCUUCCCUUCUGAGCCCCUGAAUAAUGUAUUUGUCUACAGUGGAGGGCAUCAAAAGGGCUUGUGUGGAUAACAGUUGUCCCUCUCCUGAUUCAUUAAAGACCCUCCCUGUUCUCCGAGAUCCAUCUUCUCCCUGCCACGGUUGUGAGACAGGUUCUCUGGGCCAAGGAACUCAUCAUCCAUCGUUAGGCUGUUCCUCUCCUCUUCUGAGAAGGAAUGCUACUAUUUAAGAAUGGGAAGAUGAAAGCAUUUCUUGUC
RNAcentral lists this long non-coding RNA (1789 nucleotides) under Camelus dromedarius (Arabian camel). RNAcentral describes it as "lncRNA (ENSCDRG00005020372.1)". The record is from RNAcentral. Lineage: Eukaryota; Metazoa; Chordata; Mammalia; Artiodactyla; Camelidae.